GAUGAACGCUGGCGGCGUGCCUAAUACAUGCAAGUCGAGCGAACAGACGAGGAGCUUGCUCCUCUGCCGUUAGCGGCGGACGGGUGAGUAACACGUGGAUAACCUACCUAUAAGACUGGGGUAUCUUCGGGAACCCGGAGCUAAUACCGGAUAAUAUAUUGAACCGCAUUGUUCAAUAGUGAAAGACGGUUUUGCUGUCACGUCUAGUUGGAUCCGCGCCGCAUUAGCUAGUUGGUAAGGUAACGCCUUACCAAGGCAACGAUGCGUAUCAGACAUGAGAGGGUGGUCGGCCACACUGGAACUGAGACACGCCCCAGUCUGAUACGGGAGGCAGCAGUAGGGAAUCUGCCGCAAGGGGCGAAAGCCAUACGGAGUAACGCCGCGUGAGUGAUGAAGAUCUUCGGAUCGGAAAACUCUGUUAUUAGGGAAGAACACAUGUUUAAGUGACUAUGCACGUCUUGACGGUACCCGAUAAGAAAGCCACGGCUAACUACGUG
Molecule: ribosomal RNA, 497 nt
Filed under: uncultured bacterium
Lineage: Bacteria
Description: partial 16S ribosomal RNA
Rfam family: Bacterial small subunit ribosomal RNA
Source: RNAcentral